This 249-nucleotide long non-coding RNA is filed under the name Mytilus galloprovincialis (Mediterranean mussel). The record is from RNAcentral. Lineage: Eukaryota; Metazoa; Mollusca; Bivalvia; Mytilida; Mytilidae.
UGGCACCAUAUUUUUGUUGACUAAAGAAACAACUGCUCCUGUGUCAAUUAACAAGGUUGCGUCUCGCAUGAAAACUUUUCCUUUUAUUUUAAUUCCUUGCACAUUAUCAGGAAUAAUAGAAUUAAUUUUUAUUGUAUCAUUAAAAUCUAAAUUAUCUACACAAUCACUAUGGAAAUGUUGAACAUCAGUCCUAUUCAAAAACGAGGGAUUUUUAUUUACACAAGUGGCCGCCUUCCCCUCUAUGAAGGA